Molecule: ribosomal RNA, 425 nt
Filed under: uncultured bacterium
Lineage: Bacteria
Description: bacterial SSU rRNA
Rfam family: Bacterial small subunit ribosomal RNA
Source: RNAcentral
GUGGGGAAUAUUGGACAAUGGGCGCAAGCCUGAUCCAGCCAUGCCGCGUGAGUGAUGAAGGCCUUAGGGUUGUAAAGCUCUUUUGUCCGGGAAGAUAAUGACUGUACCGGAAGAAUAAGCCCCGGCUAACUUCGUGCCAGCAGCCGCGGUAAUACGAAGGGGGCUAGCGUUGUUCGGAAUCACUGGGCGUAAAGCGCACGUAGGCGGACCAUUAAGUCAGGGGUGAAAGCCUGGAGCUCAACUCCAGAACUGCCUUUGAUACUGAUGGUCUCGAGUAUGGAAGAGGUUGGUGGAACUGCGAGUGUAGAGGUGAAAUUCGUAGAUAUUCGGAGGAACACCAGUGGCGAAGGCGGCUCACUGGCUCGAUACUGACGCUGAGGUGCGAAAGCGUGGGGAGCAAACAGGAUUAGAUACCCUAGUAGUCC